Molecule: long non-coding RNA, 585 nt
Organism: Dalotia coriaria
Lineage: Eukaryota; Metazoa; Arthropoda; Insecta; Coleoptera; Staphylinidae
Exons: 3
Source: RefSeq, a predicted model, not a curated record
UGUAGAAGUCUUUUAGUUCAAUAAUUUCGGGCGUGUUUAGUUUGAUUAAAAUGUCUUCGUUGGGCACCAUCUUGAUAUUAACGUUACAAUAUUGCAUAAAGAGUUUAAUAAUAUGAUUUAAUGACUGUAAACGAAAUAAAACAGGGGACGUUGCAGAAUGCGACCCGAACCGAAGACCCAAAGACAGAAAAGAGAGCAAGCUAGAAACCUGCUACUGCUUUGUUGAACGACUCAGGCACGACUUAGCACUGGUCACUGAGUGCCUAGUGACCGUUUAUACCCGCGGGGCAACCAGUAAAAUGAAGUGGGGAGAGGUACACUUGUACAUGAUUGCUGGUGCAGGCUUACCUUUUCUCAAUCAAUACUUUAAUUGGUAUAUUGGUGGUAGGUACCAUUCAGAAGACGUCUGAUAACGAGGUUAAAAAAUAUUGGAGUUUUCCGAUGUUAAUAAACAAGAAUUGUGUAAUUAUUAAUUGUAAGUAAAUACUACAAUGUAUGUAAUUAGAUUAUAAUCAAUAUCAGGUAUAAUAUACUUUCGUAAUUUCAAGAGUGAUAAUCCAGUUUAUUAAUCAACAUACUAGAAAA